CCUACGGGUGGCAGCAGUGGGGAAUAUUGGGCAAUGGGCGCAAGCCUGACCCAGCAACGCCGCGUGAAGGAAGAAGGCUUUCGGGUUGUAAACUUCUUUUGUCAGGGACGAAGCAAGUGACGGUACCUGACGAAUAAGCCACGGCUAACUACGUGCCAGCAGCCGCGGUAAUACGUAGGUGGCAAGCGUUAUCCGGAUUUACUGGGUGUAAAGGGCGUGUAGGCGGGACUGCAAGUCAGAUGUGAAAACCACGGGCUCAACCUGUGGCCUGCAUUUGAAACUGUAGUUCUUGAGUGCCGGAGAGGUCAUCGGAAUGCCUUGUGUAGCGGUGAAAUGCGUAGAUAUAAGGAAGAACACCAGUGGCGAAGGCGGAUGACUGGACGGCAACUGACGGUGAGGCGCGAAAGCGUGGGGAGCAAACAGGAUUAGAUACCCUUGUAGUC
This 443-nucleotide ribosomal RNA is filed under the name uncultured bacterium. Its description in RNAcentral is "partial 16S ribosomal RNA". It matches the Rfam family "Bacterial small subunit ribosomal RNA", at positions 338 to 795 of the family's 1533-position model. The record is from RNAcentral.